CAACUUGAGAGUUUGAUCCUGGCUCAGAACGAACGCUGGCGGCAGGCUUAACACAUGCAAGUCGAACGCCCUCUUCGGAGGGAGUGGCAGACGGGUGAGUAACACGUGGGAACCUACCUAGGGGUACGGAAUAACUCGGGGAAACUCGUGCUAAUACCGUAUACGACCUUCGGGUGAAAGAUUUAUCGCCCCUAGAUGGGCCCGCGCUGGAUUAGCUAGUUGGUGGGGUAAAAGCCUACCAAGGCGACGAUCCAUAGCUGGUCUGAGAGGAUGAUCAGCCACACUGGGACUGAGACACGGCCCAGACUCCUACGGGAGGCAGCAGGGGGGAAUCUUGGACAAUGGGCGCAAGCCUGAUCCAGACAUGCCGCGUGAGUGAUGAAGGCCCUAGGGUUGUAAAGCUCUUUCGCCAGGGAAGAUAAUGACGGUACCUGGAUAAGAAGCCCCGGCUAACUCCGUGCCAGCAGCCGCGGUAAUACGGAGGGGGCUAGCGUUGUUCGGAAUUACU
RNAcentral lists this ribosomal RNA (508 nucleotides) under Parvibaculum sp. Its description in RNAcentral is "bacterial SSU rRNA". It matches the Rfam family "Bacterial small subunit ribosomal RNA", at positions 1 to 555 of the family's 1533-position model. The record is from RNAcentral. Lineage: Bacteria; Pseudomonadati; Pseudomonadota; Alphaproteobacteria; Hyphomicrobiales; Parvibaculaceae.